GACGUAGGAGGCGAGCGUUGUCCGGAUUCAUUGGGCGUAAAGAGCGCGCAGGCGGCUUGGUAAGUCGGAUGUGAAAUCCCGAGGCUCAACCUCGGGUCUGCAUCCGAUACUGCCCGGCUAGAGGUAGGUAGGGGAGAUCGGAAUUCCUGGUGUAGCGGUGAAAUGCGCAGAUAUCAGGAGGAACACCGGUGGCGAAGGCGGCAUCCUGGACCGGUAUUGACGCUGAGGCGCGAAAGCUAGGGUAGCAAACGGG
Molecule: ribosomal RNA, 253 nt
Filed under: uncultured bacterium
Lineage: Bacteria
Description: partial 16S ribosomal RNA
Rfam family: Bacterial small subunit ribosomal RNA
Source: RNAcentral